RNAcentral lists this transfer RNA (72 nucleotides) under Janus sp. 1 GYN-2022e. RNAcentral's name for it is "tRNA-Leu". It matches the Rfam family "tRNA". From Rfam's summary of the family: Transfer RNA (tRNA) molecules are approximately 80 nucleotides in length. The record is from RNAcentral. Lineage: Eukaryota; Metazoa; Arthropoda; Insecta; Hymenoptera; Cephidae.
UCUAAUAUGGCAGAAUAGUGCCUUAGACUUAAACUCUAAAUAUAAAAUUUCUAAUUUAAAUUUUUAUUAGAA